This 253-nucleotide ribosomal RNA is filed under the name uncultured bacterium. Its description in RNAcentral is "partial 16S ribosomal RNA". It matches the Rfam family "Bacterial small subunit ribosomal RNA", at positions 524 to 776 of the family's 1533-position model. The record is from RNAcentral.
UACGUAGGGUCCAAGCGUUAUCCGGAUUUAUUGGGCGUAAAGCACAUGUAGGUGGUUUGAUAAGUCUUGUCUUAAAGCUCCGGGCUUAACUCGGAACGGUCAACUGAUACUGCGCGGCUAGAGUGCAGAAGGGGCAACUGGAAUUCUCGGUGUAGCGGUGAAAUGCGUAGAUAUCGAGAGGAACACCUGCGGCGAAGGCGGGUUGCUGGGCUGACACUGACGCUGAUGCGCGAAAGCCAGGGGAGCGAACGGG